Long non-coding RNA from Ostrea edulis (European flat oyster), 374 nucleotides. RefSeq lists it as uncharacterized. NCBI's taxonomy places the organism in Eukaryota, Metazoa, Mollusca, Bivalvia, Ostreida, Ostreidae. The record is from RefSeq and is a predicted model, not a curated record. The transcript has 3 exons.
UCUUCGAUCCGGUUUUAAACUUUAACGACAAGGUAAUGUUUCCUGUUUGAAAUAUCCUUGAAAAUGAGUUUUCUUGGGGUGAAAUAUGCUUACUAUUCCCUGGGAAUGACAGCUGUUGGUGCCUUCGUGGUAGCAAGCGUUUUGAAUCCUAUGUAUCACUUUGUAAAAGCAGACGAAUAUCUGAAGCUUAAAGGUUACCCCCACCCCAUACAUAAACCUUUCCGACCAGGGGGUCAUCUAGAAGGAAUGAAGGAAGUCAUUGACAAGUGGCCACACAAGGAAUGAUGGGAAAAUUUAGAUUAGCUAGUUUCUUUUAUGUCCAUAUUAGAGUGUUACACAUAUAUCAGGAAAUAAAACAGAAAAUAUGUGACUAA